RNAcentral lists this ribosomal RNA (457 nucleotides) under Yersinia enterocolitica. RNAcentral's name for it is "partial 23S ribosomal RNA". It matches the Rfam family "Bacterial large subunit ribosomal RNA", at positions 1715 to 2153 of the family's 2925-position model. The record is from RNAcentral. Lineage: Bacteria; Pseudomonadati; Pseudomonadota; Gammaproteobacteria; Enterobacterales; Yersiniaceae.
AGGCAAAAUGGUGCCGUAACUUCGGGAGAAGGCACGCUGGCAUUAGGUAAAGGGACUUGCUCCCGGCGCCGAAGCCAGUCGCAGAUACCAGCUGGCUGCAACUGUUUAAUAAAAACACAGCACUGUGCAAACACGAAAGUGGACGUAUACGGUGUGACGCCUGCCCGGUGCUGGAAGGUUAAUUGAUGGGGUCAGCCGCAAGGCGAAGCUCUUGAUCGAAGCCCCAGUAAACGGCGGCCGUAACUAUAACGGUCCUAAGGUAGCGAAAUUCCUUGUCGGGUAAGUUCCGACCUGCACGAAUGGCGUAAUGAUGGCCAGGCUGUCUCCACCCGAGACUCAGUGAAAUUGAACUCGCUGUGAAGAUGCAGUGUACCCGCGGCAAGACGGAAAGACCCCGUGAACCUUUACUAUAGCUUGACACUGAACAUUGAGCCUUGAUGUGUAGGAUAGGUGGGAG